AUUGAACGCUGGCGGCAUGCCUUACACAUGCAAGUCGAACGGCAGCACGGGAGCAAUCCUGGUGGCGAGUGGCGAACGGGUGAGUAAUAUAUCGGAACGUGCCCAGUCGUGGGGAUAACGUAGCGAAAGCUACGCUAAUACCGCAUACGAUCUAUGGAUGAAAGCGGGGGAUCGCAAGACCUCGCGCGAUUGGAGCGGCCGAUAUCAGAUUAGGUAGUUGGUGAGGUAAAGGCUCACCAAGCCGACGAUCUGUAGCUGGUCUGAGAGGACGACCAGCCACACUGGGACUGAGACACGGCCCAGACUCCUACGGGAGGCAGCAGUGGGGAAUUUUUGGACAAUGGGCGCAAGCCUGAUCCAGCAAUGCCGCGUGCAGGAUGAAGGCCUGGUUGUAACGUAGUACGUUUGUUACGGUAAC
Molecule: ribosomal RNA, 418 nt
Filed under: uncultured bacterium
Lineage: Bacteria
Description: bacterial SSU rRNA
Rfam family: Bacterial small subunit ribosomal RNA
Source: RNAcentral